GGCGGUGUAGCUCAGAUGGUAGAGCGCGCGCUUAGCAUGCGAGAGGUACCGGGAUCGAUACCCGGCACCUCCA
Molecule: non-coding RNA, 73 nt
Organism: Ciona savignyi (Pacific transparent sea squirt)
Lineage: Eukaryota; Metazoa; Chordata; Ascidiacea; Phlebobranchia; Cionidae
Source: Rfam